RNAcentral lists this RNase MRP RNA (254 nucleotides) under Scrippsiella hangoei. RNAcentral describes it as "partial RNase MRP". It matches the Rfam family "RNase MRP". From Rfam's summary of the family: RNase MRP is an enzymatically active ribonucleoprotein with two distinct roles in eukaryotes. In mitochondria it plays a direct role in the initiation of mitochondrial DNA replication. Lineage: Eukaryota; Dinophyceae; Peridiniales; Peridiniaceae. The record is from RNAcentral.
AAGCACGGCUUCGCAGCGCGCAGACGGGGAGCGUUGCUCCCAAUGAUGAUGCAAGGAAAGUCCCCGUGCCUUGGUGCAGAGAGUGCGUGUGGGAGACCGCAGGGCCCUUGCCGAACCGCCAGUGGUGAUGCUUCUCGCGGAGCCGUGGUGGCGGGUGUGGGUCCUUCGCAGCAGCACAGACAUGCCGUGAGUGCUCGCCAUGCUCAUGCCCCCUCCCAUGAAGGGAGCGCCAACAGCAACGGGGCUCACUCUCC